MicroRNA from Caenorhabditis elegans, 23 nucleotides. The record is from Ensembl. NCBI's taxonomy places the organism in Eukaryota, Metazoa, Nematoda, Chromadorea, Rhabditida, Rhabditidae.
UAAAUGCAUCUUAACUGCGGUGA